GGACGAACGCUGGCGGCGUGCUUAACACAUGCAAGUCGAACGGUAAGGCCCUUCGGGGUACACGAGUGGCGAACGGGUGAGUAACACGUGGGUGAUCUGCCCUGCACUUCGGGAUAAGCCUGGGAAACUGGGUCUAAUACCGGAUAGGACUCCUGGCUUCAUGGUUGGGGGUGUAAAGCUUUUGCGGUGUGGGAUGGGCCCGCGGCCUAUCAGCUUGUUGGUAGGGUAAUGGCCUACCAAGGCGACGACGGGUAGCCGGCCUGAGAGGGUGACCGGCCACACUGGGACUGAGAUACGGCCCAGACUCCUACGGGAGGCAGCAGUGGGGAAUAUUGCACAAUGGGCGCAAGCCUGAUGCAGCGACGCCGCGUGAGGGAUGACGGCCUUCGGGUUGUAAACCUCUUUCAAUAGGGACGAAGCGCAAGUGACGGUACCUAUAGAAGAAGGACCGGCCAACUACGUG
RNAcentral lists this ribosomal RNA (463 nucleotides) under uncultured bacterium. RNAcentral describes it as "bacterial SSU rRNA". It matches the Rfam family "Bacterial small subunit ribosomal RNA", at positions 27 to 507 of the family's 1533-position model. The record is from RNAcentral.